ACCAACAGGGAUUGCCUUAGUAACGGCGAGUGAAGCGGCAACAGCUCAAAUUUGAAAUCUGGCGCUUUUGGUGCCCGAGUUGUAAUUUGCAGAGGAUGCUUUUGGCGACGUGCCUUCCGAGUUCCCUGGAACGGGACGCCAUAGAGGGUGAGAGCCCCGUACGGUCUGGUGCCUAGCCGCUGUAAAGCUCCUUCGACGAGUCGAGUAGUUUGGGAAUGCUGCUCUAAAUGGGAGGUAAACUCCUUCUAAAGCUAAAUAUUGGCCAGAGACCGAUAGCGCACAAGUAGAGUGAUCGAAAGAUGAAAAGCACUUUGAAAAGAGAGUUAAAUAGCACGUGAAAUUGUUGAAAGGGAAGCGCUUGUGACCAGACUUGGGCUUGGUAGUUCAGCCGUCCUUUUGGGCGGUGCAUUCUGCCGGUUCAGGCCAGCAUCAGUUGUCGGUUGGGUAGAAUUGUAGUGGGAAUGUGGCUCUUCGGAGUGUUAUAGCCCGCUACGCAAUGCCCUCCUGGCGACUGAGGUUAGCGUUUUCACGGAUGCUGGCGUAAUGGUUAUCAGCGACCCGUCUUGAAACACGGACCAAGGAGUCGUCCUGCUAUGCGAGUGUUUGGGUGUUAAACCCCUACGCGAAAUGAAAGUGAACGGAGGUGAGAGCUUCGGCGCAUCAUCGACCGAUCCUGAAGUUUUCGGAUGGAUUUGAGUAAGAGCAUAGCGGGCCGGACCCGAAAGAAGGUGAACUAUGCUUGAAUAGGGCAAAGCCAGAGGAAACUCUGGUGGAGGCUCGCAGCGGUUCUGACGUGCAAAUCGAUCGUCAAAUUUGAGCAUGGGGGCGAAAGACUAAUCGAACCUUCUAGUAGCUGGUUUCUACCGAAGUUUCCCUCAGGAUAGCAGUGUUGAUUCUCAGUUUUAUGAGGUAAAGCGAAUGAUUAGGGACUCGGGGGCGCUAUUUAGCCUUCAUCCAUUCUCAAACUUUAAAUAUGUAAGAAGCCUUUGUUGCUUUAGUGAACGAAGGCAUAGAA
Molecule: ribosomal RNA, 1015 nt
Filed under: Ocostaspora apilongissima
Lineage: Eukaryota; Fungi; Ascomycota; Sordariomycetes; Microascales; Halosphaeriaceae
Description: eukaryotic LSU rRNA
Rfam family: Eukaryotic large subunit ribosomal RNA
Source: RNAcentral